GGCCCAGACUCCUACGGGAGGCAGCAGUGAGGAAUAUUGGUCAAUGGUCGGGAGACUGAACCAGCCAAGCCGCGUGAGGGAGGAAGGUACAGAGUAUCGUAAACCUCUUUUGUCAGGGAACAAAGGCGGGGACGUGUCCCCGGAUGAGUGUACCUGAAGAAAAAGCAUCGGCUAACUCCGUGCCAGCAGCCGCGGUAAUACGGAGGAUGCGAGCGUUAUCCGGAUUUAUUGGGUUUAAAGGGUGCGUAGGCGGAAGGUUAGGUCAGGGGUAAAAUGGCGGUGCUCAACACCGGCCUGCCGUUGAAACUGGUCUUCUUGAGUGAGCGAGAAGUAUGCGGAAUGCGUGGUGUAGCGGUGAAAUGCAUAGAUAUCACGCAGGACUCCGAUUGCGAAGGCAGCAUACCGGCGCUCAACUGACGCUGAGGCACGAAAGCGUGGGGAUCGAACAGGAUUAGAUACCCGUGUAU
RNAcentral lists this ribosomal RNA (467 nucleotides) under uncultured bacterium. Its description in RNAcentral is "bacterial SSU rRNA". It matches the Rfam family "Bacterial small subunit ribosomal RNA", at positions 328 to 793 of the family's 1533-position model. The record is from RNAcentral.